Molecule: ribosomal RNA, 584 nt
Filed under: uncultured bacterium
Lineage: Bacteria
Description: bacterial SSU rRNA
Rfam family: Bacterial small subunit ribosomal RNA
Source: RNAcentral
ACGGGUGAGUAAUAUAUCGGAACGUGCCCUAGAGUGGGGGAUAACUAGUCGAAAGACUAGCUAAUACCGCAUACGAUCUACGGAUGAAAGUGGGGGAUCGCAAGACCUCAUGCUCCUGGAGCGGCCGAUAUCUGAUUAGCUAGUUGGUGGGGUAAAAGCCUACCAAGGCGACGAUCAGUAGCUGGUCUGAGAGGACGACCAGCCACACUGGGACUGAGACACGGCCCAGACUCCUACGGGAGGCAGCAGUGGGGAAUUUUGGACAAUGGGGGCAACCCUGAUCCAGCAAUGCCGCGUGAGUGAAGAAGGCCUUCGGGUUGUAAAGCUCUUUUGUCAGGGAAGAAACGGUAGUAGCGAAUAACUACUACUAAUGACGGUACCUGAAGAAUAAGCACCGGCUAACUACGUGCCAGCAGCCGCGGUAAUACGUAGGGUGCAAGCGUUAAUCGGAAUUACUGGGCGUAAAGCGUGCGCAGGCGGUUGUGUAAGUCAGAUGUGAAAUCCCCGGGCUCAACCUGGGAAUUGCAUUUGAGACUGCACGGCUAGAGUGUGUCAGAGGGGGGUAGAAUUCCACGUGUAGCAGU